UUCCCCUCGAACGAGGAAUUCCCAGUAAGCGCGAGUCAUAAGCUCGCGUUGAUUACGUCCCUGCCCUUUGUACACACCGCCCGUCGCUACUACCGAUUGAAUGAUUUAGUGAGGUCUUCGGACUGGCGCUCGGAGCGGUGCUCGGCGCCGGGCCGACGUGCCGGAAAGAUGACCAAACUUGAUCAUUUAGAGGAAGUAAAAGUCGUAACAAGGUUUCC
RNAcentral lists this ribosomal RNA (218 nucleotides) under Wugigarra yawai. RNAcentral describes it as "partial 18S ribosomal RNA". It matches the Rfam family "Eukaryotic small subunit ribosomal RNA", at positions 1593 to 1804 of the family's 1831-position model. The record is from RNAcentral. Lineage: Eukaryota; Metazoa; Arthropoda; Arachnida; Araneae; Pholcidae.